AUGGAUUAGCGGCGAACGGGUGAGGAACACGUGAAGAAUCUGCCCUCCACUUUGGGAUAACACCGGGAAACCGGUGCUAAUACCGAAUAUUGAAACAUAAGUGGCAUCACUGAGUUUUGAAAGAAUUUCGGUGGAGGAUGACUUCGCGGCCUAUCAGCUAGUUGGUGAGGUAAUGGCUCACCAAGGCAACGACGGGUAGCCGGCCUGAGAGGGCGACCGGCCACACUGGGACUGAGACACGGCCCAGACUCUUACGGGAGGCAGCAGUGGGGAAUAUUGGGCAAUGGAGGAAACUCUGACCCAGCGACGCCGCGUGCGGGAUGAAGGCCUUCGGGUUGUAAACCGCUUUCAGUAGGGAAGAAGCGAAAGUGACGGUACCUACAAAAGAAGCACCGGCUAACUAUGUGCCAGCAGCCGCGGUAAUACAUAGGGUGCAAGCGUUGUCCGGAAUUAUUGGGCGUAAAGAGCUCGUAGGUCGUUUGUUACGUCGGAUGUGAAAACCUG
RNAcentral lists this ribosomal RNA (504 nucleotides) under uncultured Actinomycetes bacterium. RNAcentral describes it as "bacterial SSU rRNA". It matches the Rfam family "Bacterial small subunit ribosomal RNA", at positions 87 to 604 of the family's 1533-position model. Lineage: Bacteria; Bacillati; Actinomycetota; Actinomycetes. The record is from RNAcentral.